GCUGCACGCUCACGACAACACCGGGCUGGUGGUGUGCUGAUUAUGUCCCUGCCCUUUGUGCGUGUAUGUGUGUGUAUGUGUUGUUGUGCGUGGAUGUUGCUCAGGUGGUUGGUGUUGUGGUUGCGGUUGUCGUGGAUGUUGUUGUUGGUACCAUGGUACGGUGUUUGGUGUUAGGUGUGUUGUUGCCGUCAUUGCCGGUGUCGCCGUUGUUGUAGCCCUCGAUGGAUCGGUUGG
RNAcentral lists this unclassified non-coding RNA (234 nucleotides) under Alexandrium catenella. Its description in RNAcentral is "partial 3' external transcribed spacer". The record is from RNAcentral. Lineage: Eukaryota; Dinophyceae; Gonyaulacales; Pyrocystaceae.